CCUACGGGGGGCUGCAGUGGGGAAUAUUGGACAAUGGGGGGAACCCUGAUCCAGCCAUGCCGCGUGUGUGAAGAAGGCCCUCGGGUUGUAAAGCACUUUCAGUGAGGAAGAACGCCUGGUGGUUAAUACCCAUCAGGAAAGACAUCACUCACAGAAGAAGCACCGGCUAACUCCGGGCCAGCAGCCGCGGUAAUACGGAGGGUGCGAGCGUUAAUCGGAAUUACUGGGCGUAAAGCGCGCGUAGGUGGCUUGAUAAGCCGGUUGUGAAAGCCCCGGGCUCAACCUGGGAACGGCAUCCGGAACUGUCAAGCUAGAGCGCAGGAGAGGAAGGUAGAAUUCCCGGUGUAGCGGUGAAAUGCGUAGAGAUCGGGAGGAAUACCAGUGGCGAAGGCGGCCUUCUGGACUGACACUGACACUGAGGUGCGAAAGCGUGGGUAGCAAACAGGAUUAGAUACCCGGGUAGUC
This 465-nucleotide ribosomal RNA is filed under the name Vreelandella stevensii. RNAcentral's name for it is "partial 16S ribosomal RNA". It matches the Rfam family "Bacterial small subunit ribosomal RNA", at positions 338 to 795 of the family's 1533-position model. Lineage: Bacteria; Pseudomonadati; Pseudomonadota; Gammaproteobacteria; Oceanospirillales; Halomonadaceae. The record is from RNAcentral.